UAGGGAAUCUUCGGCAAUGGACGAAAGUCUGACCGAGCAACGCCGCGUGAGUGAAGAAGGUUUUCGGAUCGUAAAACUCUGUUGUUAGAGAAGAACAAGGACGUUAGUAACUGAACGUCCCCUGACGGUAUCUAACCAGAAAGCCACGGCUAACUACGUGCCAGCAGCCGCGGUAAUACGUAGGUGGCAAGCGUUGUCCGGAUUUAUUGGGCGUAAAGCGAGCGCAGGCGGUUUCUUAAGUCUGAUGUGAAAGCCCCCGGCUCAACCGGGGAGGGUCAUUGGAAACUGGGAGACUUGAGUGCAGAAGAGGAGAGUGGAAUUCCAUGUGUAGCGGUGAAAUGCGUAGAUAUAUGGAGGAACACCAGUGGCGAAGGCGGCUCUCUGUCUGUAACUGACGCUGAGGCUCGAAAGCGUGGGGAGCAAACAGG
RNAcentral lists this ribosomal RNA (428 nucleotides) under Gemmatimonadota bacterium. Its description in RNAcentral is "Gemmatimonadetes bacterium partial 16S ribosomal RNA". It matches the Rfam family "Bacterial small subunit ribosomal RNA", at positions 355 to 776 of the family's 1533-position model. Lineage: Bacteria; Pseudomonadati; Gemmatimonadota. The record is from RNAcentral.